Molecule: long non-coding RNA, 215 nt
Organism: Mobula hypostoma (lesser devil ray)
Lineage: Eukaryota; Metazoa; Chordata; Chondrichthyes; Myliobatiformes; Myliobatidae
Exons: 3
Source: RefSeq, a predicted model, not a curated record
GGAAUGGAUUCUGGAAAUCUGAAUGGAAACUUGUGUACCACCAAUCUCAAGCUGAAGUUAGAGGUACAAUUAAGGUGCAGGCUCAUUACUUUGAGGAGGGUAGCAUUAAUUUAACCACCAGUACUGAAGUACAUCAGCAGCUUUCACUGAAUAAUGAAUAUGAAGGAGCUACAGAGUUUGUGAAAGUUAUUGAAAAUGCUGAUGCAGAAUUCCAG